CCAGGCGGUGACCUUGCCAAGGUCCAGAGGGCUGUCUGCAUGAUCUCCAACUCCACCAGCGUUGUCGAGGUCUUCUCCCGCAUUGACCACAAGUUCGACCUCAUGUACGCCAAGCGUGCCUUUGUCCACUGGUACGUGGGUGAGGGCAUGGAGGAGGGAGAGUUCUCUGAGGCCCGUGAGGAUCUCGCUGCCCUGGAGAAGGACUAUGAAGAAGUUGGCGCUGAGUUCGACGAGGGUGAGGAUGGUGAUGAGGGUGAUGAGUACUAGAGCUGCUGAGUUCAACGACCUGAUGUACGCCAAGCGUUCCUUCGUGUGAUCUGCCCGAGUGGCUUUAUCUGCUGUCUGUCUGUUUGAAUGUUUGCUGUGUGGUGUUUGGUUUACAACCUGUGGUAUGUUUGAACCUGCUUCGCACCUUGGUCAAUAUGCAUGUUAUCUGGUUUGCCUACACCAUUUCCCUGUUUCAGUAUUUGUAUUGUUCCUUGGGGUGAUUUGGUUGGUGUCGUCGCCUGGAUGAUCCCCUCCUUUAUAUUGUUUCUUCGUUGUGCCUCCCUGAUCUAUGCUGCAAGGGUCAUAGCGAUCAGUGGUGUCCUUGAAAUGCGUCUGUGCUACGCCUGUAACUGUUGUAGCUUCCAGUCAAGUGCUACGCCUGCAUAGCCGUCUGUAGUCCCUGCAUCUGGUCUUUGUAUCCUUUUAUGCGUAGAACCAAAACAGUCAUCGUCCCAUCUCCAACGUCUAGUGCCUGUUGCUUUAGCUGUCGGUCGAAAUCUUCUUUGUCUGAUACAUAUGGUGAU
RNAcentral lists this long non-coding RNA (791 nucleotides) under Triticum aestivum (bread wheat). RNAcentral describes it as "long non-coding RNA (TAES_LNC004074)". Lineage: Eukaryota; Viridiplantae; Streptophyta; Magnoliopsida; Poales; Poaceae. The record is from RNAcentral.